CGGAGGAACAACCCCAGUGGCUGUGGCAGCUCUGGAAACCUGGAUUCAGCUCCUGCAGUAACUCCGGAGCUAUCUGUCUGCAGGGGCCUGGAGGCUCCGGGGCAGG
Molecule: microRNA precursor, 106 nt
Filed under: Canis lupus familiaris (dog)
Lineage: Eukaryota; Metazoa; Chordata; Mammalia; Carnivora; Canidae
Also listed under: 1 other name
Description: mir-8834 microRNA precursor family
Rfam family: mir-8834 microRNA precursor family
Source: Rfam by way of RNAcentral